UAAGAUUCUAAAUUAAACUACCCUCUG
This 27-nucleotide transfer RNA is filed under the name Coregonus clupeaformis (lake whitefish). RNAcentral's name for it is "partial tRNA-Pro". Lineage: Eukaryota; Metazoa; Chordata; Actinopteri; Salmoniformes; Salmonidae. The record is from RNAcentral. RNAcentral also lists the same sequence under 1 other name.